AUUGAACGCUGGCGGCAUGCCUUACACAUGCAAGUCGAACGGUAACAGGGAGCUUGCUCCGCUGACGAGUGGCGAACGGGUGAGUAAUGCAUCGGAACGUACCCAGUCGUGGGGGAUAACGUAGCGAAAGUUACGCUAAUACCGCAUACGUCCUGAGGGAGAAAGCGGGGGACCGUAAGGCCUCGCGCGAUUGGAGCGGCCGAUAUCAGAUUAGGUAGUUGGUGGGGUAAAGGCUCACCAAGCCAACGAUCUGUAGCUGGUCUGAGAGGACGACCAGCCACACUGGAACUGAGACACGGUCCAGACUCCUACGGGAGGCAGCAGUGGGGAAUUUUGGACAAUGGACGCAAGUCUGAUCCAGCCAUUCCGCGUGCAGGAUGAAGGCCCUCGGGUUGUAAACUGCUUUUGUACGGAACGAAAAGGUCUCUCUUAAUACGGGGGGCUCAUGACGGUACCGUAAGAAUAAGCACCGGCUAACUACGUG
Molecule: ribosomal RNA, 484 nt
Filed under: uncultured bacterium
Lineage: Bacteria
Description: bacterial SSU rRNA
Rfam family: Bacterial small subunit ribosomal RNA
Source: RNAcentral